Non-coding RNA from Prevotella sp. CAG:279, 59 nucleotides. NCBI's taxonomy places the organism in Bacteria, Pseudomonadati, Bacteroidota, Bacteroidia, Bacteroidales, Prevotellaceae. The record is from Rfam.
UCCAUCGAGAGGUGGAAUCUGAAAGAAGCCGGUGGCAAACAUCUUCCCAAGUCAAUGGC